CGGGGCCCGCACAAGCGGUGGAGCACGUGGUUUAAUUCGAUGCAAACCGAAGAACCUUACCUGGGUUUGACAUGUGCGUGUUACUGAGGUGAAAGCCGAGGGACCCAUAUCUUCGGAUGUGGAGCGUACACAGGUGCUGCAUGGCUGUCGUCAGCUCGUGUCGUGAGAUGUUGGGUUAAGUCCCGCAACGAGCGCAACCCUCGCUGUGUGUUACAAGUGUCACACGGAACUGCCGGUCAUAAACCGGAGGAAGGUGGGAUGACGUCAAGUCAGCAUGGCCUUUAUAUCCUGGGCUACACACACGCUACAAUGGGAAGGGACAAUAGGUUGCGAAGCCGCGAGGUGGAGCCAAUCCAGCAAAACUUCCCUCAGUUCAGAUUGCAGGCUGCAACUCGCCUGCAUGAAGUUGGAGUUGCUAGUAAACGCAGGUCAGCCAUACUGCGUUGAAUACGUUCCCGGGCCUU
RNAcentral lists this ribosomal RNA (464 nucleotides) under uncultured Anaerolineaceae bacterium. Its description in RNAcentral is "bacterial SSU rRNA". It matches the Rfam family "Bacterial small subunit ribosomal RNA", at positions 916 to 1381 of the family's 1533-position model. The record is from RNAcentral. Lineage: Bacteria; Bacillati; Chloroflexota; Anaerolineae; Anaerolineales; Anaerolineaceae.